RNAcentral lists this ribosomal RNA (460 nucleotides) under uncultured bacterium. RNAcentral describes it as "partial 16S ribosomal RNA". It matches the Rfam family "Bacterial small subunit ribosomal RNA", at positions 338 to 795 of the family's 1533-position model. The record is from RNAcentral.
CCUACGGGUGGCAGCAGUGAGGAAUAUUGGUCAAUGGGCGAGAGCCUGAACCAGCCAAGUCGCGUGAAGGAUGAAGGCUCUAUGGGUUGUAAACUUCUUUUAUAUGGGAAUAAAGUGAUGAACGUGUUCCUUUUUGUAUGUACCAUAUGAAUAAGCAUCGGCUAACUCCGUGCCAGCAGCCGCGGUAAUACGGAGGAUGCGAGCGUUAUCCGGAUUUAUUGGGUUUAAAGGGUGCGUAGGUGGUCGGAUAAGUUAGAGGUGAAAGUUCGAGGCUCAACUUCGGAAUUGCAGUUGAUACUGGUAGGCUAGAGUGUAGUAGAGGUAGGCGGAAUGUAUGGUGUAGCGGUGAAAUGCUUAGAGAUCAUGAAGAACACCGAUUGCGAAGGCAGUUUACUAAGCUACUUCUGACGUUGAGGCUCGAAAGUGUGGGGAGCAAACAGGAUUAGAUACCCCUGUAGUC